Molecule: ribosomal RNA, 468 nt
Filed under: uncultured bacterium
Lineage: Bacteria
Description: partial 16S ribosomal RNA
Rfam family: Bacterial small subunit ribosomal RNA
Source: RNAcentral
GACGAACGCUGGCGGCGUGCUUAACACAUGCAAGUCGAACGGAAAGGCCCUGCUUUUGUGGGGUGCUCGAGUGGCGAACGGGUGAGUAACACGUGAGUAACCUGCCCUUGACUUUGGGAUAACUUCAGGAAACUGGGGCUAAUACCGGAUAGGAGCUCCUGCUGCAUGGUGGGGGUUGGAAAGUUUCGGCGGUUGGGGAUGGACUCGCGGCUUAUCAGCUUGUUGGUGGGGUAGUGGCUUACCAAGGCUUUGACGGGUAGCCGGCCUGAGAGGGUGACCGGCCACAUUGGGACGGAGCUACGGCCCAGACUCCUACGGGAGGCAGCGGUGGGGAAUAUUGCACAAUGGGCGGAAGCCUGAUGCAGCAACGCCGCGUGCGGGAUGACGGCAUUCGGGUUGUAAACCGCUUUCGCCUGUGACGAAGCGUGAGUGACGGUAAUGGGUAAAGAAGCACCGGCUAACUACGUG